Molecule: microRNA precursor, 61 nt
Organism: Cricetulus griseus (Chinese hamster)
Lineage: Eukaryota; Metazoa; Chordata; Mammalia; Rodentia; Cricetidae
Source: Ensembl
CAGUCAGGCUCCUGGCUAAUGUCCAGCUAAGAGCUGGAAUUUAGCCAAAGGGUGACUGUAA